RNAcentral lists this long non-coding RNA (761 nucleotides) under Vitis vinifera (wine grape). Its description in RNAcentral is "long non-coding RNA (VVIN_LNC003119)". The record is from RNAcentral. Lineage: Eukaryota; Viridiplantae; Streptophyta; Magnoliopsida; Vitales; Vitaceae.
AAAUAUAGCCUCACUACCCACUGGCUAAGCAAACAUAGUCUUAAUACCCUUGUGAGCAUGGGACACCUAUUGUUGCGUCUUGUAUUCCUACUACUGAGAUGUCGAAUUUUGAUUUGUAACAUUAUUAUAAUUGGAUUUUGAGUGGGUCACCUUGGCAUUUGUGGGCAGGGGUCAUGGGCCACUAUAGACCAAUAUCCGUCUUCUAAUAUGGCAUCAAAUCAUUAUGUUUGAAAUGAGGUUGGUAUAUUAUUUUGAUUUUUCUAUUGGCCUUAUCUCAACGAUUCAGCAUAAUAAUGACUUGGAAAUUUAUGUGGACGAUGACGUAUCAUCUAAAAUGUUUUUGACAUAACAUUCGGAAUAUUUACCAGGACUCAAAAAUUGACAGAAAAUAAAACCUAUAGCAGGCUUCCAUUUAGGCCAUCCUUGGAAGAGUGGUACGUUCUUAGUGGAGACACGAGAAGAAAAGAAAGAAAGAAGACGGCACACAGCCUCAUAAUUGGCACACAUGCAGACACGGGUGGGCCACGGCUACCCAACUCGUACACCCACGAUUGCCCAAGGAAUCAUCAAAUUUCCAGUGCGUUUCUAGACUAUAUAUCUUAUUAUCCAAUCCAACUCUAGAUUUUUGACUAUCAGCAACUCCACAUAUCUUUCUUAACUUAAGAAUUACGCACCACUGUAGUUUGUCAGACUUGAGCCUGAAUUCAAAAGCAACUUGAAUUGCAAUUGAUUAAACUGGACUUUGUUAAAGCUCAAAGCCA